RNAcentral lists this ribosomal RNA (322 nucleotides) under uncultured eukaryote. RNAcentral's name for it is "partial 18S ribosomal RNA". It matches the Rfam family "Eukaryotic small subunit ribosomal RNA", at positions 1470 to 1796 of the family's 1831-position model. The record is from RNAcentral.
CCCCUAGAUGUUCUGGGCCGCACGCGUGCUACACUGAGUGGAUCAGCGGGUCAGGUUGCGCGAAAGUGUUUCCUAAUCUUUAAAUCCGCUCGUGAUGGGGAUUGACGGUUGCAAUUUUCCGUCAUGAACGAGGAAUACCUUGUAAGCGCGGGUCAUCAUCCCGCGCUGAAUACGUCCCUGCCCUUUGUACACACCGCCCGUCGCUCCUACCGAUUGAGUGGUCCGGUGAGGCUUUGGGAUCUGAGCGGAAAGAGCGUUUCGCUGUUUCUGCCCGGAAAACUCAGUCGAACCUUAUCAUUUAGAGGAAGGAGAAGUCGUAACA